UUGAAACAAAUAAUCUUAUUCUCAAGAGAAUGACACGUGGUCUGAAAUGGGAAAACAUUACGCCAAAGAUAAAGACGUCUAUUUGGUUAUCUAAAUCACCAAAGUUCAUUUACAUUUAGUGGGUAGGUAGGUGUGGCCGUGGGUUAGACCAAUAUGUCUCAAGAGCUUUUGGACAAUGAAAGGCCAAAAUCCGCUUGAAAUUAGCUUCAGGACGUGGGAUGUUAAGAGAACGUCGUUGAGUGAUGGCAUCUCUGAGGUAAAAAGGAAGUUCAAAAGUGAAGUCGCGAUGUGGCAAGCAGAGAUUCUCCCGCGGUUUAAACGGCAGAAGACAUAACAAGCAUAAUAAAAUAGCAAUAUUUUGAAAAUACGACCUCCCAUAUAAUACACAUUUCCGCACCGCAUGGAGUUUUCAGAAGUCAAGCAGAUAUCUGCUCUUUGAAAACAAUGGAUUCAAAAACAUGUUGUACGAGCUGCACGCAUGUCGUAGGCUAUACAACGACUUGUAGCCUUACAGUGUAGGCGUAGCUUGUUUCACGUGAAGUCAGCUGCUGUGAAAAAUCAGGGUUGCGCUCUGGUCACGGUAGGGACGGAAGUGACGACAUCCGUUGAAGCAGAGUCACGGCGUGAAAGUUCCUCGAUAGCGGUCAAUCAAGAAGUACUAUGUUCCCUCUUCAUGCCUCAUGCAUGUCYAACUAGAAAAACUUAGCAAAACAUCCACUCCUUCCCCAAGAUACAAUAAAAACAAAACUGAAUCUAUAACGCUCGCUUCGAAUCUGACUAAUUCAAAAUUGUUCAACCUGAUCGAGUACUACUUUCGUGCGUAACACCGCAGACCGGGCUCAUAGCCCGAUAUCGUCUUAUUGGGCUAUAUCGUCUUAUUGGGCUAUAUCGUCUUAUUGGGCUAUGUCGUCUUAUUGGGCUAUGUCGUCUUAUUGGGCUAUAUAUCGCCU
Long non-coding RNA from Actinia tenebrosa (Australian red waratah sea anemone), 950 nucleotides. RefSeq lists it as uncharacterized. The record is from RefSeq and is a predicted model, not a curated record. NCBI's taxonomy places the organism in Eukaryota, Metazoa, Cnidaria, Anthozoa, Actiniaria, Actiniidae.